Non-coding RNA from Corylus avellana, 1619 nucleotides. The record is from RefSeq and is a predicted model, not a curated record. Lineage: Eukaryota; Viridiplantae; Streptophyta; Magnoliopsida; Fagales; Betulaceae.
UAAUCUGUACGGAACAAGGAAACUCUACUUCUUAUGUCCUCGCUCGACUGUGACGAGAAGAAUCGGAAAAAUGACUCCGGUUAACCGGAGGGACUUUAUGGAAGAGCUGGUGAGAUUCACGCUGGAAUCUUAUAUAGACGAAACCUUAGAAAUCGAUUUAGGGCUCUCCAAGGCCUUCUGCUCCAACCUCCUCAAAGACGAUCCCGCCGACCCCUACUUAGCCACUGCCGAUUCUUUUGAAGGAGUCCCUCCAUACCCCUUAUACAAGCGUCUGGCAUCAUCUUUAUUAGAAUCAAUAGAUUCCAAAGCCUUCUGUAAGCCACGCUGCAAUUUGACAUUGAUCCCUGAGGGAAGUUCCUUGAAGCAGAAAGAAAAUGAAUGGCAGAAGCUGAUUAUGGACAAGGGAUCCAAGAUAGUGAAUAUUAUGGAGACUUCUGUCCACGAACUUCAUGUUCAGGAGCCUUUCUUUUCGCAGCUAAAAGAUGGCCAGAAAACAAUUGAAGGAAGAUGUGCUGUUGGCGACUACAAUAGAAUUGGUUCAGGAUCUUUGAUCCUUUUCAACAGAUGUGUGGUGUUUGAAGUACAGGAUGUCCGCCGGUAUGCUUCAUUCUCAGAUAUGUUGGGAGCUGAGACUCUUGCAAAGGUUCUUCCUGGAGUUGAAACUAUUGAAGAAGGUGUACAAAUCUACAGGAAGUUUUACACAGAAGAAAAGGAAAGGUUAAGUGGUGUCCUUGCAAUCUUUGUUUCAAAAGUGGAUCUUCAGCCCUACAUUUGUUUGGCAACCCUACUCUCUGAAUUGAGUUAUGGGGGCGUUCAAGGCCUUCUUGGUCUGACACAUACCACAGGGACAAUUCCAGAUGCACUUCCCCCACCAAAAUCAAUUCUUUUAUCAUCAUUUAUGUUGCCAUGUAAGCUAAAUGUCGUAACCUUGACUCAUGGAGCUAGGGCGUUGGCAAAGCAUGCUAAUAGGAGUAGCAGUAAAUAUUGGGGUACUUUGAAAGGAAGUGAUUCUGAUAAAAAUAAGCUUGCAAUGGAUGUCGUCUGUCACUUAAUAGCACAUUGUGACUGGUUGAAUGUACAUGUUGUCCCACCACAUGGUGUUGUCUUUGAAAUAAGGGUUGCUGAUGGAUAUGGUGCACGCUGGUCUAAAGAUGGAAGCAAGUUUAUUGGAUUUCUGGAGCCAUACAUGGAAGACGGCCACUCAAAGGGAUGGAGGAACUAAUUUUGUUUUGGAAGUGUAUUCUUUAGCUUACUUGGUUUGGAUAGAUCUUUGUUACAGGGACUUGGGUGUGACCACAUGAUGAUGGUGGUGGUGGAUGGUGUCAACAAGUGGAUUUUCCCGGCUUCUGUGGCUUGCAUUGGAACAACAUAUGCGUGAGCCAUCAAAAUCAGUAUAUGCUAGAAUGAAUAUUUAGGAUGUGUUUUUUUUUUUUUUUUUUUUAAUUUAUAAUUAUCAUUUUGUAUCCAAAUGAUUUUUCUUCAUUUAUUUAUUUAAGAUUCUUGGAUGCAUAUAGGAUACAUUAGCUACAGACACCGGUGUGUUUUCUCUCCACUUGUAUUUUCAUAGACAGAAUCACUUCGACAACCUCAUGAUUUGGCAUAAUUUCAAUUUGAGAAUC